This 1848-nucleotide unclassified non-coding RNA is filed under the name Hevea brasiliensis (rubber tree). Lineage: Eukaryota; Viridiplantae; Streptophyta; Magnoliopsida; Malpighiales; Euphorbiaceae. The record is from RNAcentral.
UUUGUUUCAUUGAUAAUUUCAUAUAAAUUUGUUUCAUUGAUAAUUUCAUAUAAACAUAUGCAUGUGUUGACAGUAAUUACUGAAAUUUCUUGCUGUGCUGUUUGCUGAUCAUGCAAUACAAAUAGGAGUCUCCCAAAUUUAGUUUGCUACGCUGCUAGAGUACUUAAAAGCAUGAACAUGGACAGGCACCCAGAAACAUUCAGUUGUUGAACAUGAGCUGCUUAUGAUCCUAGUAAAAUGGGAAGGCGACAUCAAAGUAAAUUAGCAAACACAAACUAAAUCAAAGAGAUGUGGGUUGCACAAAUUGGAGAUAUACCGGAAGCUUUGACAAAGUAAAAAUUACUGAUAAGUUUAUGGAUUAGGCAAUUAGCUAGUAACACUUGUAAAAUUCACAUAUAUGAUUAAAAUAUUCCAGGUUUAUAUCCUUAUUUGUUGUGCUAUACUAGCUUGUUUCGAAUCAUUCUCUUCACUCCAUCCAUUUCAUUUUGGUAAAAAAUUGUAGGCUAACUGUUAUCCAUCCAAAUAAAAAUUCUCCAUUCAAAUUACUAAGUCUAGUUAAUCAAUCAUCCAAAAGCAAAUUAAUGAAGAAGUUGAAGCAAGGUGCUUAAAAGUUAAAAUGGUUUGUCCGCUAUUAUGCAGGACCUAUAUAUUGACAUUUGGCACACAAUGAUAUAUAUUAAAAAGCAAUUAAAGAGCCUCCAUAAAAUAGCUGCCAACAAUAUUAGAGCAUGCAUAUUGUUCCAAGAAAUAGAGACUAAACAAUAUUAGAGCAACCAACAAUGUCAAAUUGACAAAUAAAUAAGAAACAGAUAACUUACUGUUUUCAAGCAAUAAAACACCUUCCUUGAGCUGCUACUGCUACAAGCAAUUCCACGCACAAGCUCUAGUCUCUCCCAAAACCUAGUUGAAGAAACAUAAAUAAUCUUGCAAAAAAAAUCAAAAGCAAGAUUCUAGGUUUGGUUUUGAGCUCAAGGGAGAGAUAGACUUGACAUUCAAGACUCUAGCUUUAGGGGCAUCAAAAGCAAUCUAAUAGAAACACAAAUUUGACAUUAUAUAAAAGAAAACCUAGAACCAACAGACACAGAUUUGAAUAAGAAAUUAAGAAAACAAGUGAAAUCGAAACACAUCCCUCUCAACCCAACCAAAUGCACUUUCCCUAUGUCCCUGCCCCCAAGUUUCUUUGGUAGCCUAAAGUCUUAACAAAAUCCUAAGAGAACAAAUAAAUCAUAUUCAUACUUGUAAAUGUAAACAGACCAUGCAAAUUGAACAACUCAAUACCCAAAAACUUUAGAAAAAAUAAAAGAAAAAACAACCAAAGCAACCGAUUUCUCAAAAGCAAAAACAAGGAAAUUCAAGUGUAGAAGGCUAAUGCCAUUGAAAUGGGCAUGACCAGAUCACAAAAUGAACAUGCAAAGCGAAAGAGCCGCCAACAUGAUCAAUGUCGAGCUAGCACUAAGAAGAAUAUGCAAUUCAGAGCAAUAAAAAUUAAAAAAAAAAAAACCUAGAAAAAAGUCAAUGCUAGUAAUGUGACAGGAGGGAGCUGUGAGUGAGGUAAUAUCAGUAAUGCAACAGUAGGGAGCUCUGAGCAAGGCAGGAGUUGUGAUCAUGACAGCUGAGGAGAGUUUGAGUUGUCGCCAAUGGACUAAAGGGUGAGAGUUUGAGUUGUAACGAUGGAAUGGUGAUCAUAUGGAAUGUUUCUUGGAUGAAGAUAUGGAUAAUUUCAUCACCUAACCGACAAAGGAUAAAUUUCAAAAUGAAUUGGCCAACCCGACCCAAUCCAGUGAAUCAACCUGAAAUGUCUAUUUGGGUCGGAUCAGAUCGGUUGAUUUGAACCAAAUUUUGAACAGC